RNAcentral lists this ribosomal RNA (792 nucleotides) under Triticum aestivum (bread wheat). RNAcentral's name for it is "partial small subunit ribosomal RNA". The record is from RNAcentral. Lineage: Eukaryota; Viridiplantae; Streptophyta; Magnoliopsida; Poales; Poaceae.
AUGGAUCACAGCCUUGGGAUCAUUUUCUAGAACGUGCGAGGCCUCAACUCCGGGGCCAAGCGCUCGGCUGUUCGGAGUGUAAUUUCCUCUGUGGAUGCUUGUAUUGUUUGUCUCCAAGAAACGAAGCUCGCUUUGUUCUCGUCGUCUCUUGUGUAUGAAACCUUGAGCGUUGACUUCUCGGGCUUCUUCCAUCUACCCGCGGAUGGCACCCGUGGGAGCAUCCUCUUAGCAUGGAAGCCCACGGUGAUCACCCUUUCCCGCCCAAGCAUCGGGCUGCACCACAUCUUCGCGCUCGUCUCUCCUCUGGUCGGGGUCACGCGCUGGUGGAUUUCUGAGGUCUAUGGUCCUCAGGGCGACUCCAAGAAGUUGGAAUUCCUCGUGGAGCUGCAGGACUUCCGUGCGACCUGUGUAGGGCCCUGGCUAGUCGAAGGCGACUUCAACAUGAUUCUCUCAGCCACGGACAAGAAUAAUAACAGACUCCACCACCAGUCUAUGUCCCGAUUUCGUCGCUUCGUUGCAGACUUCGAGCUGCAUGAUAUCUAUCUGCACGGGCGACGAUAUACUUGGCCAAACGAGCAGGCCUGUCCUACCCUAGUUUGCAAUGACCGUGCGUUGUACACACCGGCUUCGGAGACGACCCAACCCCACUGCCUAUUGCGCUGCCUCGCCUCGGCAGCCUCUGACCAUGCCCCGCUGCUGAUCGACUGUGUCCCGUGUUCUAGAGCCAUCAAGCGUUUCCACUUCGAGCGAUUUUGGCCUAAGAUGGACGGUUACCUCGAUGUGGUGUCCUAG